GCCGGGCGUUGUGGCGGACGCCUGUAGUCCCAGCUACUCGGGAGGCUGAAGCAGGAGAAUGGCGUGAAACCGGGUGGUGGAGGUUGCAGUGAGCCAAGAUCGCACCACUGCACUCCACCCUGGGUGACAGCGCGAGACUCUGCCUCUG
This 148-nucleotide non-coding RNA is filed under the name Gorilla gorilla gorilla (western lowland gorilla). Lineage: Eukaryota; Metazoa; Chordata; Mammalia; Primates; Hominidae. The record is from Rfam by way of RNAcentral.